Molecule: ribosomal RNA, 1474 nt
Filed under: metagenome
Description: bacterial SSU rRNA
Rfam family: Bacterial small subunit ribosomal RNA
Source: RNAcentral
AGAGUUUGAUCCUGGCUCAGGACGAACGCUGGCGGCGUGCCUAACACAUGCAAGUCGAACGGACGAGGCCCCUUCGGGGACCGAGUUAGUGGCGGACGGGUGAGUAACGCGUGAGCAACCUGCCUUUCAGAGGGGGACAACAGUUGGAAACGACUGCUAAUACCGCAUGAUGCAGCGAGAUCGCAUGGUCUUGCUGUCAAAGAUUUAUCGCUGAAAGAUGGGCUCGCGUCUGAUUAGCUAGUUGGAGGGGUAACGGCCCACCAAGGCGACGAUCAGUAGCCGGACUGAGAGGUUGAACGGCCACAUUGGGACUGAGAUACGGCCCAGACUCCUACGGGAGGCAGCAGUGGGGAAUAUUGGGCAAUGGGGGAAACCCUGACCCAGCAACGCCGCGUGAAGGAAGAAGGCUUUCGGGUUGUAAACUUCUUUUACCAGGGACGAAGAACGUGACGGUACCUGGAGAAAAAGCCACGGCUAACUACGUGCCAGCAGCCGCGGUAAUACGUAGGUGGCAAGCGUUGUCCGGAUUUACUGGGUGUAAAGGGCGUGUAGGCGGAGCUGCAAGUCAGAUGUGAAAUCUGGGGGCUUAACCCUCAAACUGCAUUUGAAACUGUAGCCCUUGAGUACCGGAGAGGCAGGCGGAAUUCCUAGUGUAGCGGUGAAAUGCGUAGAUAUUAGGAAGAACACCAGUGGCGAAGGCGGCCUGCUGGACGACAACUGACGCUGAGGCGCGAAAGCGUGGGGAGCAAACAGGAUUAGAUACCCUGGUAGUCCACGCUGUAAACGAUGAAUACUAGGUGUGGGGGGACUGACCCCCUCCGUGCCGGAGUUAACACAAUAAGUAUUCCACCUGGGGAGUACGACCGCAAGGUUGAAACUCAAAGGAAUUGACGGGGGCCCGCACAAGCAGUGGAUUAUGUGGUUUAAUUCGACGCAACGCGAAGAACCUUACCGGGAUUUGACAUCCUACUAACGAAGCAGAGAUGCAUUAGGUGCCCUUCGGGGAAAGUAGAGACAGGUGGUGCAUGGUUGUCGUCAGCUCGUGUCGUGAGAUGUUGGGUUAAGUCCCGCAACGAGCGCAACCCCUAUUGUUAGUUGCUACGCAAGAGCACUCUAGCGAGACUGCCGUUGACAAAACGGAGGAAGGCGGGGACGACGUCAAAUCAUCAUGCCCCUUAUGUCCCGGGCUACACACGUAAUACAAUGGCGGUCAACAAAGGGAAGCAAAGCCGCGAGGCAGAGCAAACCCCCAAAAGCCGUCUCAGUUCGGAUUGCAGGCUGCAACUCGCCUGCAUGAAGCUGGAAUUGCUAGUAAUCGUGGAUCAGAAUGCCACGGUGAAUACGUUCCCGGGCCUUGUACACACCGCCCGUCACACCAUGAGAGUCGGGAACACCCGAAGUCCGUAGUCUAACCCGCAAGGGAGGGCGCGGCCGAAGGUGGGUCUGAUAAUUGGGGUGAAGUCGUAACAAGGUA